RNAcentral lists this ribosomal RNA (480 nucleotides) under uncultured bacterium. Its description in RNAcentral is "bacterial SSU rRNA". It matches the Rfam family "Bacterial small subunit ribosomal RNA", at positions 28 to 524 of the family's 1533-position model. The record is from RNAcentral.
GACGAACGCUGGCGGCGUGCUUAACACAUGCAAGUCGAACGGUGACCCAGGGCUUGCCCUGGUGAUCAGUGGCGAACGGUGAGUAACACGAGGGCAACCUGCCCCUGACUUCGGGAUAACUCCUCGAAAGAGGAGCUAAUACCGGAUACGACCACUUCGGACAUCCGAUGGUGGUGGAAAGUUUUUCGGUCAGGGAUGGGCCCGCGGCCUAUCAGCUAGUUGGUGGGGUAAUGGCCUACCAAGGCGACGACGGGUAGCCGGCCUGAGAGGGCGACCGGCCACACUGGGACUGAGACACGGCCCAGACUCCUACGGGAGGCAGCAGUGGGGAAUAUUGCGCAAUGGGCGAAAGCCUGACGCAGCGACGCCGCGUGAGGGAUGAAGGCCUCGGGUUGUAAACCUCUUUCAGCAGGACGAAGCGUAAGUGACGGUACCUGCAGAAGAAGCACCGGCUAACUACGUGCCAGCAGCCGCGGUAAU